AUGAGCAUUACAACGUCACCCUCAUCGCUGCUCAGUUCCUUCAAUAGAUUCAUCAACCACACGACUUGGCACGCACACAACGAAGCGGCAACAUACUCGGCGUCACAAGACGAAAGUGCUACUACCAGUUCCUUCUUCAAAAACCAUGAGAUUAGUGUUCUAUCGAAUAUAAAGAUGUAUACAACUGUAGACUUUCGAUCAUAUUUAUCUCAGCAUCAAUUAGACUCAGUAAAACCGAGUAAAUUGCAUUUUCAGCCCAUGUGUGUUGCGGGAAAGAGAAUUCCGCAGCAAAUAGAUCCUUUGACUUAUCUUAGAAUCCUCUUGACUGCUGUCAAGUGA
Vicia faba (fava bean) is the source of this 339-nucleotide non-coding RNA. The record is from the annotation of a GenBank genome assembly. NCBI's taxonomy places the organism in Eukaryota, Viridiplantae, Streptophyta, Magnoliopsida, Fabales, Fabaceae.